Molecule: long non-coding RNA, 211 nt
Filed under: Dermacentor andersoni
Lineage: Eukaryota; Metazoa; Arthropoda; Arachnida; Ixodida; Ixodidae
Description: uncharacterized LOC126541836
Source: RNAcentral
UGGUGGCAACAGCUGGAGCAGCAGCGUAGCUGGCGACUGGAGCGUGAGCCACGGUGGCAACAGCUGGGGCGUGGUAGGUGGUGGCAACCUUGGUCACGGCUGGAGCAGCUGCGUAGGUGGCGACCGCUGGAGCAGUGGCAUAGGUGGCAACAGCUGGGGCGGCGUGGUAGGCGGCAACUGGAGCAGCAGCAUAGGUGGCAACAGCUGGAGC